GAUAGCCUUCUCUGCCUUUCGCACCCUUUUCUUCUCCUCGAUGAGGGCACUCUCAGCCGACUCCAUCUUCUAUUGAUAGUCGGCCUUCAGCUUCUCGAACUCCUUUUCAUUUCUCUGUUGGGCCGUCAGACUUGCCAACUCAGCCUCUAGUAGAGAAAUCUUCUGUCUGCUCUUUCUAUCCCACUCCUCAAUAGCUUGGAGGAGCUCAUCGAAAACUUCGGCCCG
This 225-nucleotide long non-coding RNA is filed under the name Elaeis guineensis (African oil palm). RNAcentral describes it as "long non-coding RNA (EGUI_LNC068980)". The record is from RNAcentral. Lineage: Eukaryota; Viridiplantae; Streptophyta; Magnoliopsida; Arecales; Arecaceae.